Molecule: non-coding RNA, 31 nt
Filed under: Rattus norvegicus (Norway rat)
Lineage: Eukaryota; Metazoa; Chordata; Mammalia; Rodentia; Muridae
Source: RNAcentral
UAGCCAUUGCACUCAGCGUAACUGCCUGGAA